GUAAUCACAAAUGCUGCAGUCCUUUUGACAACCUUGCAUCUUCAAGCAGUGGGAAACUGAGCUGAGAAGCAUGCAGCAAGGAGUCCUACCCCGUUCAGGCUGGGGUGAGGGCCAGGCAGAACAGCUGGCCCCUCCUCAGCUGACAUCAGUGCAUACAUCACAGCAGCUGGUCUGGAGGCAGGAGGGAAGAGGAGAAGCUCCCUCGAUCCCCAUCUGCCAGAGUUAUGUCCAGUCUCACACAGGUCCUUAUCAGAGACGCAGUCACGUGUUCUUGCUUUUAAAUGCUGCUGGCCCAACUAAUUCUCCUGGGCACAAGUGAACUCCAGAGGCAGAGGGGAAAUAAUUCCAGUGCCAGGAGUGAGGCUCCUCUUGCUGUCAGGGGCUGGGUACCAGUCCAACACCAUCAUGGUCCACAGCAGGGACAUGCUAAAAGAUGCUGUGACUCAUUUCCAGUGCCAGCUGCAGUGAGCACCUGACCAGAAGCAAACUUCAGGGGUGCUGGCAGCCACCCUACAGGUGCUCUUGCCCUUGCUGCCUGCCCUUACAUGCUGGUGCCCUCACGUCUGUAGGCUUUUUUGCACCUGUGGAUUCGGAGGCAGGAUUUGCAAGCAAAUGUACUGGAACAUUUUCAGACUCCAAAAAUAAAUAACACCUGUCAUUAGCAA
Long non-coding RNA from Numida meleagris (helmeted guineafowl), 665 nucleotides. RefSeq lists it as uncharacterized. Lineage: Eukaryota; Metazoa; Chordata; Aves; Galliformes; Numididae. The record is from RefSeq and is a predicted model, not a curated record. The transcript is spliced from 2 exons.